This 497-nucleotide ribosomal RNA is filed under the name uncultured bacterium. Its description in RNAcentral is "partial 16S ribosomal RNA". It matches the Rfam family "Bacterial small subunit ribosomal RNA", at positions 28 to 507 of the family's 1533-position model. The record is from RNAcentral.
GAUGAACGCUGGCGGCGUGCCUAAUACAUGCAAGUCGAGCGAACAGACGAGGAGCUUGCUCCUCUGCCGUUAGCGGCGGACGGGUGAGUAACACGUGGAUAACCUACCUAUAAGACUGGGAUAACUUCGGGGAACCGGAUCUAAUACCGGAUAAUAUAUUGAACCGCAUGGUUCAAUAGUGAAAGACGGUUUUGCUGUCCCUUUUAGAUGGAUCCGCGCCGGAUUAGCUAGUUGGUAAGGUAACGGCUUACCAAGGCGACGAUGCGUAGCCGACCUGAGAGGGUGAUCGGCCACACUGGAACUGAGACACGGUCCAGACUCCUACGGGAGGCAGCAGUAGGGAAUCUUGCGCAAUGGGCGAAAGCCUGACGGAGCAACGCCGCGUGAGUGAUGAAGGUCUUCGGAUCGUAAAACUCUGUUAUUAGGGAAGAACAAAUGUGUAAGUAACUAUGCACGUCUUGACGGUACCUAAUCAGAAAGCCACGGCUAACUACGUG